UGUCCCUAUACAUGAGACCACUCUGCAAGAACCUUCUAAGACAUAGAAGUAUGAAAAUAAGCAAGGCCAGGGGCAUCCAGAGAGAACAGCUCACUCAGCAUCCCAGCCUAACCACGGCACAAGGCAUCUUGCCUUGCCCCUUUCAUCCUAUUGCUGGCCUCCUACAUCCAUUGUCCCUGAGCUCAGCCAAAGCUCAGUAACUGGCAGGUAACUCAUUAGUGUGGCACAGCCCCAAAGCCUGGCAGGGAGACAGGGCAUAAAAGCAAAACUCUUGACAUAGACCAGAAGGACAAUCCUGGCAGACUGCACCUGGCAGUGACCCAGAGAUGCUGCUCCAGCCAACAUCCCCAGCCGCCACCCUAGCAAGGCCAGGUUGGUUGCCAGGAGAUGUGGUUUGCAUGGAGUUAUUGUUCCAUGGGAAACUGGCUGUCUUCCUGCUCUUCAUCUGUCAGCAGGAUUUUCAGAGAAUAUGUUCCCAAAUAUGAAGUGAAUUUGGCAGGCUGGGCUAGAGCCCUUUACUAGAAAACCUGGACAUCAGAGUGUGUCCGGUUUAAUCCCAGAGUCUGUGAGAAUCAGUGUAAAGUAGCAUAUCAAGUGAACUUUUCACUCUGUGGCAGAAGGGAUUACCACAUCCCCUUUGUUUGUUGUGCACUUCGUAACUGAAAACACUUUAACCCUUUCUUGCAGCCCUGCGACACUAAGUACCCAUGAAAAUUCCUAGGAAAACUGCAGCUGUUCCAAUCUCCUAUGGCUGGGGGUGAUGGGUAUACUCAUUUUCCAUGAACCAUUGCUCCUAGUCUCCCUCUUGGCUAGGGAAAUGGGUCCUGUUUUAAAAUGCCUCGCCACAGAACUCCUUGGGAAGGUUUUGCAUCAGGCAGUGCAGGCAGCACCAGGUGCUCCCAACUUCUCAUAGCCCUGAACUGGCAAAACCUGGAGGAGGAUCCACUGAUUCCAUGUCCAAGUGAGUUUCGCAGCUAUAGAGCAGCAGUUUCAGUCCUUUCAGCGCCCACUCAACACACCAAUCCAUCAUCUUUUACUGCCCUGCAUCAGUGCAGUUCCAAAGAGAAAAAAAUGCACAGGAAAAUCCUGCCAAAAUAUUAAAGUGAGAUCAUUUCUAUUAGAAAACGUUCCCUGUGAAGAAGCACAUUUUGAUGUGAAACAAAUCUGAAAAUAUAUUUUUAUUCAAGAUGAAUGAAAAUGAAAAUUCUGGCCUCUAAGAAGUUUAUUUCUAAUAAAUCACCUGUUUAAUUUUUCCCUCCUUCUUCCUUGGUUCUUUUCCAGUUGAAAUUUCAUCAGUGCUGGACAAGUCAUCAGGUGACAUUGUGUCAUGAUUUUAAUGCUCCUAUUCCAACUUGAUGACUUUCCUACAGUUGGAAAAAACAAAGGGGAAGUAAAAUGCAGAACAGGCAGUAAAGCCAGACUGCGGGACAUGAAUAAUCUCACUGCCCUCAGCAGUAAACUGAGAUGAAAAAGAAAAAACUUCCUAUUUCCAGUUUCAAAAGAAAGGUUUUGAAAUGCAACCUGAAAAGCUGAGUUUGAAACUGGACUUUCGGCUUUAUCCUGUAAAUUCCACUGAUGAUUUGAGACAAGAAAAAUUACUUUUUUUUUUUUUUUCCUGAAGAGAAAAGCAUUAAAAUUAAACUUUCUAGGUGGGGACUUUCUCCUUUAGGAAUUUAGUGGUGCCACCUCUGCAGCAGCUUCUCAUCAGCCUUGAGUUCACUAUGUAGACCCCCACAUGCAUCCAUUUCCUUUUCAGGAUGCAGUUUUUACUCUCUCCAUUUUACAGCUGUGUCCAUCACCUCCAGUCACUCCCCACCC
Taeniopygia guttata (zebra finch) is the source of this 1818-nucleotide long non-coding RNA. The record is from Ensembl. Lineage: Eukaryota; Metazoa; Chordata; Aves; Passeriformes; Estrildidae.